UACUCCUACCAAGUGAUUAACAAAAGAUGGUGUAUCAAACCAUCAAUCACACCUCACUAAUAGAAGCUCAAACCUUCCUCUUAGGUGGACCAAAGGAAUUCGCACUCCCCAAUCACACCUUUCUUGCCAAAUGUUCAACACAAAUGAAAUCCAUCAUUUGUAUUAAACUCUCAAGUUUUUUGAUGUCUUUUCCAAGAUCUACACUAAGAUGGCUUCUCCAAGACCUACACUAAGGAAAUAAAUUACACUAAGAGUUCUAAUGAAAAUGGAAGCUAAAAGGUCUAUUUAUACUAUUACAUAACAAUGACUAAAAUGCCCUUAAUGAAGAGAGCUCCUUGGGAGUGUAAAAGGAAGGUCUUAAAAGACCACAACGCCCUUAGUUGAGGCGACUAUGUGAUGUAGAAAUCCCUCCUUCUCUCUUCAAUUUGGAGAGGGCUUUGUAAUGGUUCCAAAAGUUCUUCAAACACUUGCAAAUCCGAGACUUGAUCCUUUGACAAUUCGAAGCUUGAACCUUCUACAAGACCUUGUAAACCUUGUGCUCUUUAUGUUUGUAUCAUCCUCUCCAUCUUGAAAGGAAUUUGUCCUCAAAUUCAGAUCUUACAAAACCAAAGAGAGAGCAAAACAAGCACACAAUCCUCUUGGUAGGAAGGUUAGUAUUAGUACCACACUCAUAUCAUCAACCCAUGGUUGCUCACACUUGACAUACACCCACAUAUCUUUAAAAUUUGACAUGAAAAGCUUUGCAUAAAAGGGUAUAAAGAAGUGGAUGGCAUAAACAUCAAAAGGAAUUGAGUAUGAACCGAAACUACUUCCACAACUCAAAAGUAUUCCGGGGUCAAAUGGGAAUAGAAGACAAGGGGUUAAUCCGAGGUGACCCACUCCUUUCACUAGGCUACCAAACUCACAAUCAUCAUCAUUCAAGCAAGGAAACCAGCCACCAAACUUACUACAUCUACAUAAUACCAAUUCAAAAUUAACAUGGUUAUCAUCAUAGGCAAAGAGGUAGUAUAGGAAGGAAUCAUGUGUGAAGACAUCACGCAAGGUGUAUCAUCUACAAGAGGGUCACUUGGUCCAAAAGAUAUAGCACAUAAGGCACACAAGGAUGGAAUUAAAUCAAUUAAGCAUAUAUGACUUCUUCCCCUCAAGAAAAACAUCAACUUGGCAUCCACAAGUUGGGAUUUACUCAAUUCAAGCACAAGUGUGUCAAGUAAGGAUGCACAUUUAGAAACAUUAUCCCAAGACGACAAUGACACUUUUGCCUUCGGGUUUUCAAGAAUAAUACUUUGCAAAUCAUAUAGACCAAGCAACAAGGUGGUUGUGCCAACAUCAUCAUAUUCACAAUUUGCACCGGGGUCAAAUGGUAAGAGUGGCCUUAGACAUGGAUCUAGACAACACUCUUUUUCCCCAAUCUAAAAGACAUACUCUCUACAAUAGCAGACACAUCAUCAAAGGCAAACAGAGAGUAGAGAAAGGUGUCACACAAAUCAACUUCAACUAUGGUGCCCUUGUGCAAGUACUCACUAGUUCCAAGUUCAUCACCACUAGGAUGCUCAACAUAGGAAACACACAAAGAAGAAAUAGAUGAAAUUUCUAAGCAUGCACCACUUUCUAUUUUAAGAGAGUAAUCCCCACAUAGAUAUAAACCACAAUGAGCAGCAAAAGGAUCACACACAAAAACAUGUUCACAAGAAGAAUCACAAUUCGGGUUUCCUAAAUAUUCGAGCAAUUCAAGGUCACCUUCACCCGAUUGUGCCUUUUCUUGGUUUCUUUGAGUAAAUCUAUCAAUAUGGCUUUCAUCAUACAACAAGCUCAAAGAAUCAUCUCCAAUCCCAUGAUCAACACCUUCUUCAUCACUAACUCGAGACUUAUCAAACACACCACACAUAUGCUCAAGUAGUGGACUACAUUCGUGAGUAGGUUGAUCAUCAUUCACAUCCUCACUAGUUGUUGGCAACUCACAUACCAACGUAGACUCACCUUGGUUUUCACAAGGGUCAACUAGUCUUAUCACUUGGUAAUGGAACCUUAUUCAAGUUAUAAGUGCUAGCACUAGAUGGACACAAAUCAUUCUAAAGAAAAGAAUUGAUUUUGUCAUCUAAAAGAUCAACUAGUGCUUGCAUACUCACAACAAGAGUUUGGUCCUUAUUCAACCUAAAAAUAUCAGGAGUAUCACAAAGGGAAGACUCAUGCAAUUCUCCUCCAAGAAAACCAUCAGCUACAUCCACUUGGCUACUACUAGCCACAUCACGGCAUUCUAAGUUUAUAGGAGCGUAGGAGAUAACAUUGUUACCUUUUAGCUCACAUGAGGUAUGGCCUUUACCUAGGUUUGGAUCAUGGCAGCCCAGUUGUUCCUUUGGGAAGCUCUCAUUACAAGGGAGUUUGUCAAGAGUUCUUCCUUGCAUCACCUUUUUCCCAAAGUUGGCAUUCUUAGCCAAGAGCUCCAUUUGAUCAACAACCAUGUGUUCUUGAGGAACUCUCCUUGAAUCCUCCGGUGGAAGCAUAUUAUCUUGAACCUGCACACAAGGAGAAUUGAUACUAGGCAAAAUGCUUGUAUCUUGGUUAGUGGUGAUUCGUUUUAGAUGGCAUGCUUCAAUCAUCAAUUGGCGUAGACUUUCAAGGUGCCGAUGAAAAUUUUCAAAAGGAUCCAAGGUAGUAUAAAUACUAUAACUAUCCGGAGUGGAUGCUGUUGUUCCUUCCAUUGUCAAGGUACCUAAAAAGAGCAAAAAACAACAAAGGCAAAAACCUACAAAACGAACAAAUAAGUUAGUUAAAAUAACCUCACACACUCACACUUGGAUCACACCUCACACUUGGUCUCACAAGUGUUAAAUACUUGGCAAUACUUGGUAAGUGAGUUGAGUGGUGAAUUGCCUUGGUCCGGAAUCGAUUUUUGUUUGAUAAGACUCAAACAAAAUGAUGCACGGACUUGAACCAACAAACUACUACGACUUAAAAACAAGAAAAGCACACAAAAAGCGAAGACACAAACAAAACGGACUCAAGACUAAUUAUCAACCUAGUAGGUACUUACUAGUUUGCUAAUUAGUAAUAGAAUCAACACAAAAGCAACUAGAAACAACAAUAGAAACCUAGAAAUCUAAUUUAGAACUCAAUUUGGUUGUUUAUAUAGUGAUGACGUGGCAGCUUGUGAUUGGACGUCACUUUUUCAAAUUUUUCAAUUCUCAAAUUCUUGUCUCGGCCAAACAACACUUAGGGAAGGAAGAGAAUUCGUUUGGAGGGAAAAAUAUUCAAGUUUGAAGCCUUUUCAAGCUUCAAAAUGGAUUAGAAAUGAAUUGGUCCCCCUUGUACUUGUAAUUGUACUUGAAGAUUCCUUUUGUCUUUGUUGUUUUCUUCUUUUGGCAAGACUAGGAAGCUUNNNNNNNNNNNNNNNNNNNNNNNNNNNNNNNNNNNNNAAUAUGAAUAUUCAAGAGUUGACCAAGGUUUGACCACUAGGCAAAUGAACCCCGAAUUCAAUUUUUCUUUUAGAUCUAGGUUCCUUUUGCCAAGACAAGCACAACCAACACAAAAUCAGCCACAAAUCACGUCACCAACACAAACCCAAAACAGAUCUCACUCCAAAAGCUUCAAACAAGUCACAACAAUGAUGGAUCUAGCUCAAAAACAACCAAAUCUUGUUCCAAAUGUAGAUCUAGACUCCUUAGGUGCUAGGGAACAAGAAUCUAGCACUUGAAAUCAACAAAACAACACAAAAACAUGUAGAUCUAAGAUUUAAAAAUCUGCCAAAACACAAAAACGGGUUUACAAUUUUUUGUGAGAUUUUCGAUUUUCUACACUCUUUUUUGUUGAGAUUUUCUUAGAUCCAAGACUUAGAGUUGUGGGAACAACUCUAAUACAUAGCUUUGAUACCAAAUGAUAGCCUAAAGGAAGGCUAAACACAAAAAUGGACACACAAAAAACAAAAAACAGCAAUUAGAAGAAAGGGAGAUGAAGAAGAAUGCAUAAAAUGUAAAGAUAGUAGAAAGACCUUUAACUCUUACCAAGUGAUUAACAAAAGAUGGUGUAUCAAACCAUCAAUCACACCUCACCAAUAGAAGCUUAUACCUUCCUCUUAGGUGGACCAAAGGAAUUUGCACUCCUCAAUCACACCUUUCUUGCCAAAUGUUCAACACAAAUGAAAUCCAUCAAUUGUAUCAAACUCUCAAGUUUUUUGAUGUCUUUUCCAAGACCUACACUAAAAUGGCUUCUCCAAACCCUACACUACGGAAAUAAACUACACUAAGAGUAAUACUCAAUUUCAAUUCAUCAAAGUCUAAUGAAAAUGAAAACUAAAAGAUCUAUUUAUACUAUUACAUAACAAUGACUAAAAUGUCCUUAAUGAAGGGUGCUCCUUUGGAGUGUAAAAGGAAGGUCUUAAAAGACCACAAUGCCCUUAGUUGAGGCGCCUAUGUGAUGUAGAAAUCCCUCCUUCUCUCUUCAAUUUGAACAAGGCUUUGUAAUGGUUCCAAAAGUUCUUCAAGCACUUGCAAAUCCGAGACUUGAUCCUUUGACAAUCCGAAGCUUGAACCUUCUACAAGACCUUGUAAACCUUGUGCUCUUUAUGAUUGUAUCAAUGAGCCUAACAUGCACCCACAUGUGGCCAUCUACGACUACAUGUGGCCCAAGGCAGCCAGAUUGCUUCCUUUGUUGAUUUGGGUCACGUUAGGGCCCACUUAUGUACUAAAUAGAUCAAGGCUAUAAAUACUAGCUUACUUAGGUUAUUUCCUUAGUUUUUUUAUGAUAUUUGACAUUGAGAGUCUCCUUGAUGGAGCUUGAGGGCUUGGUAAAGCUUGUAUUGAUCGUUACCAACAAACGGUGGUUGUGAGGGCAUUUCGAUUCCCUCGUGGUCAUUCGUAGGAGUUAGGUGCUUUCAUUGGAUCAAUCUCUUGAGGUUAUUAGAUUUAACAUAGUUUUAUUAGAUUCCCUUGCUUGUGCCUAUCUUUAUAUCUCUAUCUAUCUAUGCUUUACUUUUGCAUUUUCUAUCCUAUCCUUUCUUUAGUUUUCGUGUUGUUUUCGACUUCCGUAAUUUGUGGGUUAUCAUUUGGUAUCAGAGUAAGGCUUAGAUUCGUUCCUACAAGUCUAGUCUUGGGUUAGAUAUCUUGAAGAAAAAAGUCCCAAAAAAUGUUUUCAAGAUUAACCCCCAAAAAAAUAGUGUUCUUGAGUCAUUAUUGUGUUUCUAUACUAGAUUUUGUUCUAUCUAGUGAUAUACAAGUUGGAUCUUGAACCUUGGAUGUGUUUGGAAGAAGUGUUGAAGUAGGGCUCCAUUGUUGAGUUUGUUCUUGAAGAAAUAGUGAAGUGGGUCUUUCGAUCUUGCUUAUUUGGUGUUGAUUUGUGGGUUGAAUAGUGUUUUCCAUACCAAAAGAACCCUAGAUCUAAGUUAUGGUGUUAUUUGGAGAAGUUUCGAAAAAUCACAAGGAAUUCAUAUCUUUCAAUUGUAAGAAAAACACAAGUAAGUUUAUGUAGUAAUAACAUCAAAACUAAUUAAAAUUUAUAUCUUUCAAUCGUAAGAAAAACACAAGGUAAGUUAAUGUUAAAGAUUAUAAAAACAAAACACUUCCAUCAUCAAACAAGUUCUCAAGUUGAGGAACAUUCAAUAAAAUUUAUGAAGUUCAUGCUACAAUUCAAACUAUUAAAUGAAUAACCACGAGGUUCAUGGAUUUCAUAAGUUUCAUGAGUUUCAUAAAUUUUGCAACCACUCACUGGAUUAAUGCAAUUCACAUAAUUUAUAGAGCAUUCAUGAGUUAAGGGAGAUGAACACUUACUAAAAGAGAUAUGAUUAAUUGACAAAUAUAUAGAAAUUCCUUCAGCCCUAGAUAUCUUGAGAGUAAUUUGAAUUGGGGAAAAAUAAAACUUGAAAAAAUAUGUGAAAAAAGUAGUCUUACAUACCUCAACGAAGAAGGAAAUCCUGAAAAGAGAACUGAGGAAGGACCUUCCUUGAAAAGCUGAUAUUUCUUUCUUUGAAGUUUUGGGGAAAAAGGGAGGGGAGGAAUUAUAUCAUAAAUGGUGAAAUCCGAGUAUAUUUGGCUAUAGGGGAUGUUAAGAGUCAUAGUUUGGGGUUAUGCGUUAAGGGAAAGACGAGAACGCCCCUCUUAGCAUGUUUUUCUUGUGCGCAGUCGCGCAAUAUGGUAUGAAGGAGGUACGGUCAUAUAUGGUGACAUACAUACGGCCCGUCCUUGGUAAAAAGUUGGGACUUAGCUGCUGUUAGUCUUGGGCAAUUUGGGUGCCUAGUUAUGGCCAACAUACAAUAUGUGGGGGACUGUACGUGACCUUCAAGAAGCCAUAUAAAUAUGCGACAUUCAGAUUUUUAAUUAACUUCCCUCAUCCUACGCGACUCCAAGGACUCCAAACCUCUCUCCUCACAUCCUAACACUAGGCAAGUAAUUUUUAAGAUUUCCCUAAUGAUUUUCCUUGGUAAUAUUCAUGAUUCUAACAUUGAAUGUUCUUCAACCUCUCGCAAGAUCUAGGGUUUCCAUCCAAGGGUUUAAGCGAAGAUUUUUGGAGGUUUCCUUCUUCUUCUUCUAAGAAGAUGUUCUUCCUACUCUUACUUUAAGAGAUCGGGACUCAUGGGACGGUGCUUUGAAGCCAAGAGUUCAAUAUACGACCAUUGCAUGUGAGGCAUGGGAGGGUUGUUUUGAAGCUUGAGGUCUUUGAGGUUGUUUUAUUUGCCUUAUAUAGGGCCCACAAGUUGUUAGAUAAAAGAAGGGUGGGUGUUUUGGACACCCCAUUAUUAUGGUGUUUGUUCACCAGGUAAUUGGUAAAAUGCACAUACGAUACGGGCUUAAUGUCAAAGUGAUUAAUACGAAUUUGAUUAUCAUAAACUCG
Molecule: long non-coding RNA, 6819 nt
Filed under: Capsicum annuum
Lineage: Eukaryota; Viridiplantae; Streptophyta; Magnoliopsida; Solanales; Solanaceae
Description: long non-coding RNA (CANN_LNC008083)
Source: RNAcentral